GCAGUUCACGACGCAGUAAGCCACGUGCUUUCUACAAAGCGAGAUUGAAAACGAAACCAUUAGUUUGAGCGACGUUAAGAAUUUUAGUUCCACGUGCAAGAAAUUUCAGUGGAUAUCCCAUUAUAAAACUCUCUGGAAGAAAAAAUAUGCUUAGAGAUGGCCUACUGCACAGCUAUUUUUUAAAGACAAAAUAGGCUUUGAAUUUGAUGACAUAAAUAUUAAAAAUUUAAAAAACGGAUUGAAAUGCACGGAAUAUUUUUGGCUUGAUGUGUCUCGUAUGUCUCAGAUGUAUUAUUACUGUAAUCUACACAGAAAAUAUACUACAAAAUUAUUCAAUCUGCAUGGAAAAAAGCAUGCAAAAGAACCUUUAAAUUUGUUGAUUUUAUAUGAUGAACUUACUAGAAAUAUAUAUCAACACAAGAUUUACGCCAACGCAAUUUAACAGAAAGAUACUAUAGCAUAAAUAUAUUUCGAUAUCUGUAUCAAGAUAUUCAUUCUUUACAUAAAAAAAAAUUGUAGCAAAACCCAAUCAUACGCAGCAUUUGGAGUAUUUAAUUGUCGUAAUAUUACAAUAUUGUCAUCCCAAUAAGGGUAUUACUAUGUUGUAUAUAGAUAAAUUUAUAGACAAUAUCGUGCAAGAAAUAUUAAAGUUGUUGAAACAUGAAUAUCUCCAGCAUCCAAUAUUGUCCAUGCAAUCUGAACAUUUAUCCAUUUGGAGAAAUAAUCGUGUUAAUAAGAAUUUUUGGUGCAAAAAAGACGCAAAAUC
Long non-coding RNA from Nylanderia fulva, 766 nucleotides. RefSeq lists it as uncharacterized. The record is from RefSeq and is a predicted model, not a curated record. Lineage: Eukaryota; Metazoa; Arthropoda; Insecta; Hymenoptera; Formicidae.